This 597-nucleotide ribosomal RNA is filed under the name Triticum aestivum (bread wheat). RNAcentral describes it as "partial small subunit ribosomal RNA". Lineage: Eukaryota; Viridiplantae; Streptophyta; Magnoliopsida; Poales; Poaceae. The record is from RNAcentral.
AUGUUGAAGUUAAAAGAAAUGGAGGAGAGGGGGGUAGAGCAAUGGAGGGCUGCGGCCGAGGAGAAGAGGGCGGUGGAUGAGGAGAGGUUGGCGGCAGUUGGGGAGAGAAAGGUGGUGGUCAAAGAGCUCAAGAUGGUGGAGGACAAGGCACUCAAGUUUAUGUUCAUGGACACAAGUGGCUUCGACCCCAAAGCAAAGGCAUAUGUCGAGCUUUGUUGCGAUGAAAUGAUCAUGAAGAAGCAAAUGCUCAUGAACAUGAUGGGAGGUGCCAUGGGUGGUGCCUUUGGUGGAAAUAUGGGUGGUGCCUUUGGUGGAAACAUGGGAUGUCGCUUCAGUGGCAACAUGGAUGGUGGCUUCGGUGGCAUGGGAGGUGGGUUCGCUGGAAAUAUUGGUGGCAUGGGAGGUGGCUUCGGUGGCAACAUGAGUGGCAUGGGAGGUGGCUUCGAUGGCAACACGAGUGGCAUUGGGGGUGCUUCCGGUGGAGGUGGCGGCAUCGAUGCAUCAACGCAUGAAAACAUCAACAAAGAAGCCAUUGAUUAUGAUGAUGAUGCCAAUGUCCACAAUGUGAUAAGUGACAAUGGAGAGGAUGAAAAUUGA